AUUGAACGCUGGCGGCAGGCUUAACACAUGCAAGUCGAGCGGGGUGAUGGUGCUUGCACUAUCACUUAGCGGCGGACGGGUGAGUAAUGCUUAGGAAUCUGCCUAUUAGUGGGGGACAACAUCCCGAAAGGGAUGCUAAUACCGCAUACGUCCUACGGGAGAAAGCAGGGGAUCACUUGUGACCUUGCGCUAAUAGAUGAGCCUAAGUCGGAUUAGCUAGUUGGUGGGGUAAAGGCCUACCAAGGCGACGAUCUGUAGCGGGUCUGAGAGGAUGAUCCGCCACACUGGGACUGAAACACGGCCCAGACUCCUACGGGAGGCAGCAGUGGGGAAUAUUGGACAAUGGGGGGAACCCUGAUCCAGCCAUGCCGCGUGUGUGAAGAAGGCCUUAUGGUUGUAAAGCACUUUAAGCGAGGAGGAGGCUCUUUUGGUUAAUACCCAAGAUGAGUGGACGUUACUCGCAGAAUAAGCACCGGCUAACUCUGUGCUAGCCGCCGCAGUAA
Molecule: ribosomal RNA, 503 nt
Filed under: uncultured bacterium
Lineage: Bacteria
Description: partial 16S ribosomal RNA
Rfam family: Bacterial small subunit ribosomal RNA
Source: RNAcentral